UGCGCUCGUAGCUCAGCGGAUAGAGCAGCUGCCUUCUAAGCAGUUGGUCGCAGGUUCGAAUCCUGCCGAGCGCGCCCA
RNAcentral lists this transfer RNA (78 nucleotides) under Phytohabitans suffuscus. RNAcentral describes it as "tRNA-Arg". It matches the Rfam family "tRNA". Rfam says of the family: Transfer RNA (tRNA) molecules are approximately 80 nucleotides in length. Their secondary structure includes four short double-helical elements and three loops (D, anti-codon, and T loops). The record is from RNAcentral. Lineage: Bacteria; Bacillati; Actinomycetota; Actinomycetes; Micromonosporales; Micromonosporaceae.